CACUCGGGGGUAGACUUUGUUUGUUUUUGUAACUUUAAUGUUGACGUGGUUGUUUAGAAACUUUGAUGUUUGUUUUUAAUUUUGAUGUAACUUUGAUUAUGACAAUCGGAUGUAGUACACUACGUAUUUUAGUAUCGUUUAAUUCGUAAUUUGUUACCGGUUGUUACGUUUUUAUUAAUCGCUAAAAUAUUUUUAGAUUGGNN
RNAcentral lists this long non-coding RNA (203 nucleotides) under Trifolium pratense (red clover). RNAcentral describes it as "long non-coding RNA (TPRA_LNC009275)". The record is from RNAcentral. Lineage: Eukaryota; Viridiplantae; Streptophyta; Magnoliopsida; Fabales; Fabaceae.